Molecule: ribosomal RNA, 635 nt
Filed under: Hynobius leechii (Gensan salamander)
Lineage: Eukaryota; Metazoa; Chordata; Amphibia; Caudata; Hynobiidae
Description: partial 16S ribosomal RNA
Rfam family: Bacterial large subunit ribosomal RNA
Source: RNAcentral
AUAGGAAGGAACUCGGCAACAUGAACUUCGCCUGUUUUUUUAAAACAUCGCCUCUUGCAAUUAAGGGAUAGAGGUCCUGCCUGGCCCAGUGGACAUUAAGGUUUAACGGCCGCGGUAUUAUGACCGUGCAAAGGUAGCGUAAUCACUUGUCUUUUAAAUAAAGACCAGUAUGAAUGGCAAGACGAAAGUUCAACUGUCUCCCUAAAUUAAUCAGUGAAAUUGUUUUCUCCGUGCAGAAGCGGAGAUAAAAUUAUAAGACGAGAAGACCCUAUCGGAGCUUAAACAUAUAAUCAAUUGUAUUCAAUAAAAUCCGAAAGAUAAAAUAUAAAAUAAAACAAUAUGAUUAAAAUUUUAGGUUGGGGGCGACCACGGAGAAAAACAAAACCUCCGAGAUGAAAAGAAUAUCUUAAUUUAAGAACCACAAUUCCAAAAAAUAAAAUAUUUAACAUAAUUGAUCCAAUAUUUUGAUCAACGAACCAAGUUACCCUAGGGAUAACAGCGCAAUCCUCUCCAAGAGUCCCUAUCGACGAGUGGGUUUACGACCUCGAUGUUGGAUCAGAACACCCCGAAUGGUGCAGAAGCUAUUAAAGGUUCGUUGUUCAACGAUUAAAGUCCUACUGCGUUCUGAGUUCAGA